GGAUAUGGAGUGAUGACCACUAAUAUACUUAUCUUGAUACAUUUUGAUGUAUGCAGCCUAUUUGAUGAGCUAAGCAAGGGGUGAUUCUCUUUACUUUAUUACUUAUAUUGAUGAUUGUUCACAGUAUGGGUAUAUGUGUGAGAUAGAAAUUUGAAAUCUUAAAAAAUUUAAAGAAUUCAGAUAUGAAGUAAAGAAAUAAAUUAAAAAAUCCUUAAGAUUCUUUGA
This 225-nucleotide long non-coding RNA is filed under the name Elaeis guineensis (African oil palm). RNAcentral describes it as "long non-coding RNA (EGUI_LNC066450)". Lineage: Eukaryota; Viridiplantae; Streptophyta; Magnoliopsida; Arecales; Arecaceae. The record is from RNAcentral.